GAUUUGCAAAUAUUCUAAGUAUCAAAACAAAUCUUCUCAAAGAUCAUCCAUAUCAAAAUCAAUCUUGGAAAAUCUCUCUCACUCUCUCACUCCCCCAUUUUCGUCCAUCUCCUUUUCUCCCUCAUCUCUCUCUUUCCUCCAUAACCACCAUUGAUGAAGACCACAAAAGCUUCAUAGAUUCAUACCAAGAGCUCAAAUCCACCUCUAAAUCUAGCCUAAACACCUUCUAUCUCCUAGAAUUCAAGAGAUCCAUGGAAGUUUAGUCUUGGAGUUAGAAAGAGAAAGUUUGGUUCUUGGUGUGAGCUUGGGCCCGAGCGAGAUGAAGAAGUAAGUCGCCUGUUUUCCUUUCCAAGUUGAGCGAAGGACUUCAGGCUAAGCGAGGAGCGAGAUUGGUCUGGUUCUGGUGGGGGAUUGUUUAGUUGAUGUAUUUACUUUAUCGCAUUUCCAUUUUGUCGAUACUGUCUUGAUGAUUGAGUUACUUUAUUUUCUUUUGAAUCAAGCAAUGUACUCUCGGUUAUGUGUCUUCAUACAUAUAAUCAGUUCGCCUUUUGCUGCGAUACUCUGAAUUUUAUGCUUCCUUAUAAAAAAUGAGCUAUACCCGCUUUGUUUU
Molecule: long non-coding RNA, 610 nt
Organism: Salvia miltiorrhiza (redroot sage)
Lineage: Eukaryota; Viridiplantae; Streptophyta; Magnoliopsida; Lamiales; Lamiaceae
Exons: 3
Source: RefSeq, a predicted model, not a curated record